AACAUUAAAAGGAACGUUCCAGGAAUACCCGGGUAGUUCCAAAUUCACUUUGCUUGCUUAUCGCAGAAGGAAGUGAAGUCCAAGAAAACGCUACAUAUAUCUACGUGCAGGCUCCUGUCGAUAGCGGAAGUUAUCUAACCAGCGAAAAAAGUGGAACCGUUUGAAGGGAGUUAUGGCACAGGUUUCAGAAAACGAUGAUAGCAAGCUUCUGCCUGGAUGAUUUUAAAUGGCGACUUGAUACACUCCCCAAAUCAAAUUGCGCAUAUUCUUGCACGUGUUAGUUAGUGGAGUUUCCUAAAACAUAAUAUUUUUGUGCGCCUUAAAAAAUCUUGUUAUGUAUAGGUGAGCGAAAGCCGGUACUUCUAUAGAUAUAUUCAGUACAAGUACUCCGGUCGGCCAAGCACAGUAAGGUCAGCCGUCGGCGAAGCGAAACGAUACAAUCAUUGAUGACGAUGCAAUCAAUCGAUGAUCCUGGAUCAUCAACGAUCCUGCUGUUAAUAAUCGAGAAAAAUUAAAAAAAUUGUGAAGCUAGUGAUAAUGAUAACGUGUAUCGUAUUGUAUUUUGUGUCAACUUGUGUAUGAUACUCUGUUGCGGGACAUAUUCCGAUUUCUCAAUACAUACU
Long non-coding RNA from Paramacrobiotus metropolitanus, 623 nucleotides. RefSeq lists it as uncharacterized. The record is from RefSeq and is a predicted model, not a curated record. NCBI's taxonomy places the organism in Eukaryota, Metazoa, Tardigrada, Eutardigrada, Parachela, Macrobiotidae. The transcript has 3 exons.